Macrobrachium nipponense is the source of this 1327-nucleotide long non-coding RNA. RefSeq lists it as uncharacterized. Lineage: Eukaryota; Metazoa; Arthropoda; Malacostraca; Decapoda; Palaemonidae. The transcript is spliced from 3 exons. The record is from RefSeq and is a predicted model, not a curated record.
UGACUUUUCUUAUCAUUUCACCUUCUUUAUAAUGCUAUUGACAAUGUCAUCAUCCUUCGGAACAUAUGCUGUUUUUAUUUUGGGUUUAAGUUGACUCUUCUCAUUAAUUGAUAUAUUAUUGACUCCCUGAAUCUGUUUUUCCCUAUUCUAAGUUUUUCGUAUCUGGAAAUCUUACGAAUAAGUCAAAUAAGUGUCCAUCUUUUGUUGUUUGAACUUGUUCAACUGGCGGCAUUAUUUUACUCAUAAUUUGCUUCUUUUCAUCUGCUGCUGUGCUCUCCUCGUCUGUAGAUUUGAUCAAAAGCAUUUUUUUUUUGUCUUGAGUAACCCUGCAUAAGUUUUGUCCAUAAUUGUCAUAAUCUUUACAUCUUUAUCAACAUUGUCAAUUUUGCACUGAAUUUCAUCUAUAUGUUGGUCAUGGCGUUAGUAGUUUUUCGGGCCGAAUCCUGAACCAGCUCUGCUAUUAUUCCUCAGGUGAGCAUGUUGGCUCUCUGGAGGUGCAGAUGGGUCUAAGGCAGUUUGCCUUGUUUGUUGUUUUUGAUUAAGCUGACCUUGUGUCAGCACGGGCUCUUGCUCACAGAGCAGCCCGUAAUCAGCAGUUUGUCCUGUGUCGAGCCCUUUUAUGACCUCUAGGUUAGUUCCAGGGCGUCCCGCUAGAUGGUGAGCAUGGUGACCCAUGAACCUCAUGGCAAACAUGUGUUUGGUUCAAAAUGGCAGCAGUCACGCCUGGUGUCUCUUGGUUGACUCAUGGGUUUACCUGAAAGAAGCGAGGCGGGCGGCAGCAGUCUGGAGGACAGAGAGUCAAAGAUAUCUCACAGGGAGACCAUCAACAGCUUGGAGAAAUGCCAGUACCCAAAAAUGACAGACAAAGGACAAAGAUAAGGAGGGUGGUAAAAGACGGUGACAGCCACUGCCGCAGAGCAUUUUCUAACUGAGCUCAGGUCACUGUCAAGACCAGGACUCUGUGUCCGGUGCCUUCCCACCACAAUCUGCAUUCUUGUGUAGGGUUGAAGCAUAUUUCCCCAAAGUCCAUUACAUCUGUCUGGCGCUACUUCAAGUCUCCGAUCAUCUAAGGACAAAGAAUAGGAGACCAUGGAGGUUGUGUACACCGUAUGUGUUCCCAUAGUGCCAAGGUGUUUCUACUGUCUUCAGUUAUCAAGUCCAAGGGUGAAAGAUUAAAGAGCUGUUAUUUCAUAUUUUAUGAUGAAAUAAUCCUUUAAUUUAGUCAAUUCUCCUCCACAGAGGGCUAAAUAUUCUUUGGUUUUGCAUAGUGGCACUAUUUGAUUUGUGAGCCAACGUAACCUUAGUUCCAUGGAUCUAGUAAUUUCAG